Molecule: ribosomal RNA, 96 nt
Filed under: Bacillus anthracis (anthrax bacterium)
Lineage: Bacteria; Bacillati; Bacillota; Bacilli; Caryophanales; Bacillaceae
Also listed under: 2 other names
Source: RNAcentral
GGCCACACCCGUUCCCAUACCGAACACGGAAGUUAAGCUCUCUAGCGCCGAUGGUAGUUGGGACCUUGUCCCUGUGAGAGUAGGACGUUGCCAGGC